Molecule: long non-coding RNA, 3697 nt
Filed under: Cucumis sativus (cucumber)
Lineage: Eukaryota; Viridiplantae; Streptophyta; Magnoliopsida; Cucurbitales; Cucurbitaceae
Description: long non-coding RNA (CSAT_LNC000095)
Source: RNAcentral
AUCAACACAAUUUCAAUUAAUAAAAUAAAUAAACUGUUCAUAGGCUAUGGAGAAAUGGAAUUAUCACCGUAAUUAAAGUAAUUUAGCUGUAAUUUAGGAAUACAUUAUUGUAAUUAGAUUAAUUUGAUCCUUUCCUUAUAGGUUGUCCAAAUUAACUAUAUAUGUAUCAUUGUAUUAUUGAUUUUAAAUAACAAAUAAAGAAGAUCUAGAAUAUUCUCCAUAUUAUUCACAUGGUAUCAGAGCCAAAACCCUAGACUUACUGUAGCCGCCGCCGUCGCCGCCGCCGGAAAAACUCUGCCGUGAAGUCCUGCCGUGAAGACGCUUCCGCGAACGCCAGAUCUCCCUUCAGUCAAUCUUCCUGCCGCAGCCUUCUUCCACGAACGCCAGACGCAAGACCUUCCCUCGGUCCUUGCCGUGAAGCCCUGCCGUGAAGCCCUGCCGUGAAGACACUUCCGCGAACGCCUUGCCGUGAAGCCCUGCCGUGAAGACACUUCCGCGAACGCCUUGCCGUGAAGCCCUGCCGUGAAGACACUUCCGCGAACACCUUGCCGUGAAGCCCUGCCGUGAAGACACUUCCGCGAACACCUUGCCGUGAAGCCCUGCCGUGAAGACGCUUCCGCGAACGCCAGAUCUCCCCUCGGUCAAUCUCCCUGCCGCAACCCUCUGCCGUGAAAACGCUUCCACGAACACCGCGCCGCGAACUCCAGCAACCUCCUACCAAUAUUCUGUGAACUGUAUACUCGCCGCCGUCGCAAGCACCCUCCUGCCUUGAAGACCUCUGCUGGCGACCUCCUGCCGUGAAGAAACAACCGCGCCGCGAACUCCAGCAACCUCCUGCCUCGAAUCCCAACUGCAAUUCCAGUGAAAUCCCAGCCACGAACUUUAGCCUCGAAUCCCAGCCGCAAAUACUCUGUGAAUCUCCAGCAGCUAAUUAUAUUUAGAUGGAGAAACAUGAAGUUGCUCGUCCCAUUAGCACCAUUCUCGAUGGAACUAAUUAUAUCACUUGGGCCCACCAAAUGAGGAGUUUUUUGAUAGGUCGAAAACUGUGGCGCAUCGUUACUGGAGAUAUCACUAAACCAGUCAAACCUACUCCUCCGAUGGACACCACUGAAAAUAUUGAUACAGACCCAUCUGAUGUCACUGUUCAAGAGACGACUGCAGAAACCGACAAAUAUGAUUCACACUCAAUUCUCCAGCAAAAUUAAAAUCUUUCGAACUGAUAAUGCGAUGGAAUAUAAGGACUCUCAACUUCUUUCCUUCCUUGCCCAGCAAGGCACUCUGAUUCAACGCUCCUGUCCUCACACCUCUCAGCAAAAUGGAAGAGCUGAACGCAAACAUCGUCACAUUCUUGACUCUGUUCGUGCUCAGCUUCUAUCUGCUGCUUGUCCAGAAAAAUUCUGGGGCGAGGCUGCCCUCACCUCUGUCUAUGUCAUCAAUCGUCUUCCUUCAAAAGUCACUAAAAAUGUUUCUCCCUUUGAAAGACUAUACGGUACUUCCCCUUCUUACUCCAAUCUAAAAAUUUUUGGUUGUGCAUGUUUCGUAUUAUUAUAUCCUCAUGAACAUACCAAACUUGAACCACGUGCACGUCUAUGUUGCUUCUUGGGUUAUGGUACUGAACAUAAAGGAUUUCGUUGUUGGGAUCCCAUCUCUCAACGAUUACGUAUAUCUCGUCAUGUCACCUUCUGGGAACAUCGUAUGUUUUCUAGUCUUUCCUCAUUCCAUGAAUCUCUUUCAAGUUCUCACCCAUUCUUCACCGAUCCGUCUAUUGACCUUUUUCCCUCACUUGAUUCAACACCUGACACUACACCUUGCAUGUUACCUAUACCUGAGCCCACUCAAUCGGACCAUAUUUCUGCACUCCCGGAUCUUCCAUCUGCCCCUCUUGAGGAACCUGAAUCUACACCAAUCCGACGAUCUACACGGGUAAGAGAAAUUCCCUCUCAUCUUAAAGAUUAUCAUUGUUUCUCCACCAUCAUGUCUUUAGUUGAACCUUCCUCGUAUAAGGAAGCCAGCACUAACCCAUUAUGGCAGCAAGCAAUGAAUGAAGAACUUCAAGCCUUAGAAAAGACUCAUACUUGGGAAUAUGUGGACUUACCUCCUGGAAAGAAACCUAUUGGUUGUAAAUGGAUCUUCAAAAUCAAAACACACUCUGAUGGGUCUAUAGAACGAUACAAAGCACGACUUGUAGCCAAAGGUUAUUCUCAAGAAUAUGGCAUUGAUUAUGAAGAAACGUUUGCUCCAGUAGCUCGAAUGACGUCUGUUCGUAGUCUUUUAGCCAUUGCAGCUGCAAAACAGUGGCCCCUCUUACAAAUGGAUGUUAAAAAUGCAUUUCUCAAUGGAACUCUAUCUGAAGAAGUCUAUAUGAAACCACCACCUGGUACUACCCGCCACAUCAGAAAGUAUGUCUUCUUCGACGAGCUCUCUAUGGUCUCAAACAGGCUCCCCGAGCCUGGUUUGCAACUUUUAGCUCCACUAUUACUCAACUUGGGUUCACUUCCAGCCCUCAUGAUUCAGCCUUGUUCACCCGCCAGACACCUAAUGGUAUUGUACUCCUUCUUUUAUAUGUUGAUGACAUGAUUAUUACAGGCGAUGACCCUCAAGCUAUAUCUGAAUUGCAAUGCUACCUGGGAAAGCACUUUGAAAUGAAGGAUUUAGGACCUCUCAGUUAUUUCCUUGGCCUUGAGAUCACCUCCGUAUCUGAUGGCUAUUACUUAUCUCAAGCUAAAUAUGCUUCUGACCUACUCAGUCGAUCUGGUAUUACUGAUUCUACAACAUCCUCAACACCUCUGGAUCCAAAUGUUCGACUUACUCCUUAUGAUGGUGUUCCCCUUGACGAUCCUACUUUGUACCGGCAACUUGUUGGUAGCUUGAUUUACUUAACUGUAACUCGCCCUGAUAUUGCGUUCGCAGUUCACAUAGUCAGUCAAUUCAUGGCCGCUCCCCGUACUAUUCAUUUCACUGCUGUCCUUCGGAUUCUUCGCUACAUUAAAGGCACUUUGGGUCAUGGUCUCCACUUCUCCUCACAGUCUUCUCUGGUUCUCUCUGGAUUCUCUGAUGCUGAUUGGGCAGGAGAUCCUACUGAUAGAAGAUCCACCACUGGCUAUUGUUUUUAUUUAGGUGAUGCUCUUAUCUCCUGGCGCAGCAAGAAACAAUCUGUUGUUUCCCGGUCUAGCACUGAGUCUGAAUAUCGUGCUCUAGCUGAUGCCACUUCAGAAUUAUUAUGGCUUCGUUGGCUUCUUACUGAUAUGGGAGCCCCACAAACAUCAUCUACUACUCUCCAUUGUGAUAACCGCAGUGCCAUUCAGAUUGCACACAAUGAUGUAUUUCAUGAACGAACAAAGCACAUAGAGAACGAUUGUCAUUUUGUCCGUCAUCAUCUUCAAAGCAACACUCUCCAUCUUCAAUCUAUCUCUACCAUUGAUCAACCUGCAGAUAUCUUCACCAAAGCUCUCCAUUCUCCUCGUUUCACUCUGUUACUUCACAAACUCAAGGUGGUUUCUACUCUACCAACUUGAGUUUGAGGGAGGGUAUCACCGUAAUUAAAGUAAUUUAGCUGUAAUUUAGGAAUACAUUAUUGUAAUUAGAUUAAUUUGAUCCUUUCCUUAUAGGUUGUCCAAAUUAACUAUAUAUGUAUCAUUGUAUUAUUGAUUUUAAAUAACAAAUAAAGAAGAUCUAGAAUAUUCUCCAUAUUAUUCAC